RNAcentral lists this ribosomal RNA (425 nucleotides) under uncultured bacterium. RNAcentral's name for it is "bacterial SSU rRNA". It matches the Rfam family "Bacterial small subunit ribosomal RNA", at positions 359 to 776 of the family's 1533-position model. The record is from RNAcentral.
GAAUAUUGGACAAUGGGCGAAAGCCUGAUCCAGCAACGCCGCGUGGAGGAAGAAGGUCUUCGGAUCGUAAACUCCUGUCAGAUGGGACGAAAUGGCAGCGGCGAACAGUCGCCGUCUUUGACGGUACCAUCAGAGGAAGCCCCGGCUAACUCCCCGCCGGCAGCCGCGGUAAUACGGAGGGGGCUAGCGUUAUUCGGAAGUAUUGGGCGUAAAGCGCGCGUAGGCGGCUUGGUAAGUCAUGGGUGAAAUCCCUCGGCUCAACCGAGGAAUUGCCUUUGAAACUACCUCGCUCGAGGCCGGGAGGGGGUAGCGGAAUUCCCAGUGUAGCGGUGAAAUGCGUAGAUAUUGGGAGGAACACCGGUGGCGAAGGCGGCUACCUGGACCGGUUCUGACGCUGAUGCGCGAAAGCGUGGGGAGCAAACAGG